This is a non-coding RNA of Henosepilachna vigintioctopunctata, 73 nucleotides long. Lineage: Eukaryota; Metazoa; Arthropoda; Insecta; Coleoptera; Coccinellidae. The record is from the annotation of a GenBank genome assembly.
ACCUCGGUAGCUUAGUGGUAAGAGCAGCAGGGCGUGAACCUGAAAGGCCUAGGUUCGUAUCCCAGUCAAGGUC